This is a non-coding RNA of Azoarcus sp. CIB, 235 nucleotides long. Lineage: Bacteria; Pseudomonadati; Pseudomonadota; Betaproteobacteria; Rhodocyclales; Zoogloeaceae. The record is from Rfam.
AAAGUCCCGUGAAAGGAGUUGUCCGUACGCCUUUCUAGCACCGGGAAGCGGCGUCCGAGUAAUCGGAGGUCGUAAGUUUCCCAAGGGCAAAGCAGCAGGCCGCAACGCAAGUGAACCUAGACGUAGCCUCGUAACACGAAUGGAGGAGCCGACCCUGUGGUCUGAAGGGGAAGGCCGUUGGAUGAGCGCUGGAAGAACGGAAGUAGCGGGCAUUGACUCCCGGGGUAUCAGGGGU